UGUCAAGGAUAGCCUUUCUCUUUGGUUUA
This 29-nucleotide non-coding RNA is filed under the name Mus musculus (house mouse). Lineage: Eukaryota; Metazoa; Chordata; Mammalia; Rodentia; Muridae. The record is from RNAcentral.